Molecule: long non-coding RNA, 700 nt
Organism: Zingiber officinale
Lineage: Eukaryota; Viridiplantae; Streptophyta; Magnoliopsida; Zingiberales; Zingiberaceae
Exons: 4
Source: RefSeq, a predicted model, not a curated record
AUCGAACUUUCUUCUUCCUCUCUUCUCCCGACUCUCCUCUUUCCCCCGACUCCACUCCUUCUCGUUUCCUCUUGCGGGCGGAUCUGUGGCGAUCAACGACAUCGCCGGAGGAGCUCAUCACCGGAGACUACCAGAGGUCAAACAAGGAGGCGGGUCAUUGGUAUUUUCUCCUCAAACCCUUCCCGAGCCCUUCUCCCUGCGCGUGCCGACCCUUUUCUUCUCCGAUCGACACCACUGGAUCGUCGAUCCAUCGAUUGCCGGCAAGAAGAGGCAUUUAGGGCUCCGAAGGUCAGGUCAUGGAUCACUUGAGUGGAUCUUGGAUUCCUCUGCCGGAGCUAGGUCUUGGCAGACGCUGGCUAGUUGAGGGUCAGUAGAUUCAAUACAUUGCAUUAUGGAUUGGAUUAGGUGACACCUUCUGGAGGCAACCGAUCGAGUACUUGGACUUUCUCUUCUUCACUGUGAUUGAGGUCUCGGUUGAAGUGGAGAAGAAUUCCAGCAGGGAGGUCUUGUUGUGGUGUUCUUGAGCUAGUAGCUCAGUUUGGUUCCGGCAGCAUCUAUCCAGAUUGAGGUGUUGUUGAUGCUGGAAUUGUGGUCGUAAGGGGAUUUUCAACAGCAUCACCUGUGGCUUUAGAUCGUGAGGACUCUGAUUCGAGACGAGCAUCUCAACAUUGGAUUAGGACUGGAUUGUACCUUCUAUUUG